Molecule: long non-coding RNA, 204 nt
Filed under: Elaeis guineensis (African oil palm)
Lineage: Eukaryota; Viridiplantae; Streptophyta; Magnoliopsida; Arecales; Arecaceae
Description: long non-coding RNA (EGUI_LNC063230)
Source: RNAcentral
AUGGUUCUGUAAAACUGGCAAAAAGACCCGCAGAGGUCGACUCAUGAGUCGACUCAUGCCUUGAGGGUCGACUCAUGGGUCGACUCACAGGUUGUGCCAAGUCUGUACCGGCCAGAAAUUUCAGCAUGCCAGUCAUCUCAUGUGCCAUGAGUCGACUCAUGGGUCGACUCAUGAUUUUCAAUCAUGCAUAUCUUUCAAAAUACA